Molecule: ribosomal RNA, 253 nt
Filed under: uncultured bacterium
Lineage: Bacteria
Description: partial 16S ribosomal RNA
Rfam family: Bacterial small subunit ribosomal RNA
Source: RNAcentral
UACGAAGGGGGCUAGCGUUGUUCGGAAUCACUGGGCGUAAAGCGCACGCAGGCGGAUCGAUAAGUCGGGGGUGAAAGCCCGGGGCUCAACCUCGGAACUGCCUUCGAUACUGUCGACCUAGAGGUCGGGAGAGGUUAGUGGAAUUCCUAGUGUAGAGGUGAAAUUCGUAGAUAUUGGGAAGAACACCAGUGGCGAAGGCGGCUAACUGGUCCGAUACUGACGCUGAGGUGCGAAAGCGUGGGGAGCAAACAGG